AAAAGCGAACAAUCGGUUUGCCAUCGUAGACUCCACUAGGCAGGCAGGAGUCGGGCUCUUAACCUACCCAUCCCAGCCUACCGGGACUCUACUCAAAACCAGAUCACAUCCGCCUCUGAACAACCAGCCUUUCCUCUGCAACCCCAUAAGUCAGGCUCAGACAAUCCUCCCAGAACUCAGGUUUUGGUUUUUUGUUUUUUUAAAGGUUGAACGCGAAAAGAAAUGGGCUGGACGACCCACGCACCUAGAGCGGACAGAAGACUGCUAGUAAGGGCGAGGCUGCCUGCGAGGUAUCAACAAAUGGUCCAGGGAGCCUCGGGUUACAGUGCAGACAUGGCCAAGUCCAAGACCCACACAACCAGUCCUGCAAAUGGCACAGAAAUGGCAUCAAGAAACCCCGGUCGCAAAGAUACGAAUCUCUUAAGGGGGUUGACCCGAAGUUCCUGAGGAACAUGCUCUUUGCCAAGAAGCACAACAAGAAAGGCCUGAAGAAGAUGCAGGCCAACAGUGCAAAGGCAGUGAGUGCGCGUGCAGAGGCCAUCAAGGCACUGGUGAAGCCUCAGGCCGUCAAGCCCAAGAUGCCAAAGGGCCCCAGCCGCAAACUCAGCCUAACUACACCAAGCAGAAAUGAAAGAUACAUACAGAGACCAGAGAUAAUCAUGACCUCAACAGGGGAGAGGACGUCAGAGUUCCGGCAAGUGAAGGAGUUGGCAUGAUAGACAUUGUCCCGUUUUUGGACACAGUGACUACAGCUUAGGUUGUAGGGAGGGCAGCCUAAAGGAUGGACGUGAGGUUGAGUCGCCAAGCUCCACUUGACCUCGGGGUGGAGGGGUCAGAUGAAAAACUAUAUAUCUUUCAGUUAUGAAAUAAGGCUGCAGCAAGAACAGAGGCAUUUGGGGGCACAGCCAGGUGUGGCCAUUCGUUCUUCUCUUCCAUCCACAUAUAUCCCAUCCUGAUGGGGAGAGAAGAAGAAACUCUUCAAGGCUGUUUGCUGAACAGUAAUUACGUUGAACUUGCUCCAAAAAGAUUGAGUUACAGUCUUACUGAGCUGAAUAUUUACUCCAAGAGACUGAUUUUGAAAGUGCAAAUACCUAGUUAUCUUAAGAGUGGUAAGAUGGAGUUUCCUCCCAUCAGUAAAAAUGAGGACUUUAGAGAUAAGCUGAAUUCCGAGAUAGAGAAAUAAACUAUUUCCACUUGAGCUGUGGGCUGUAAAUCUUAAACGCAUUACUCUAUGGUAUACUCUUUGAAGUCUUAGCAUUAGUGUGUGCUGUAGGCAGGAGAAUUACUCAGAUGAGUGUGAGAUCAUUGCUUCAGCAUCUGAAGUGUUUGUGGGUUCCAGGGGGUACACUUGGAGGGGCAUUUCUCUUUCUGGGCGUCUGACCUGGAGUCCGCAGCAGCUUUCAGCUUCUCCCAGCAAUAACAGCUCAGUGAUGGUGCAGCUUCUUCAGAGGCUGGGAUGUAUUAUCCAUCCAUUCAACAUCUGAAUAUGACCUCAAAGGGGCAGAAGUGUUUAUCAGGCAUGUGUGGUAUGCUAAUGCCUGUCUGUAAAUGUCAUGCUGGAAAGGCAGUACUUACUUCCCGGAGCUCGAUGACAGCAACAAAGAGAGGAGCAGGCUGACAACCACCUCCGCCUGAGAGCAUUUGAUAUGUUACCCCAGCUAAAUCUCUCAAAUAAUAGACUGCUUUUCCUUCUCCCUUGAUGACAAAGGGCAGCAAAGAGGCAGGGCACGAAGUCAGGGGCAGGAAUGAGUCAGUGAGUGGAUGUGGUGGCAUCAGAGCAGGACAGACAUUAAUGAUGGGGAAGAAGCUGUGCAAACAUCAACUCCCCGACUGUGACACAUUGGGUCUGAGUCUUUCCUCCUCAACCCCAGAAGUCUCCUCUGAACCAAGGGCACGUGCAGUGGGAUGAAGGCACUGGACUCACUCUGGGGGAGGGUGCUCUGCUGCUGCGAUAGCUUGGUGUUGGCGCCGUCAUCUAUGGCAGAAAAAUGGAAGUCGGGAGCCGAGGGACUGGGAAGUCAGGGAAAUGAGGAGGUCUUCCUUUCUAGUAGUGGGAAUGAAAUGUUUAAAGAGAAUAAUUAAUUGAAGCAGAAACUCUACCUCUCUUCAGGGAGCUCUUCCAUAUCAAUUCAAAUAUCUACCCUUAAUACACAAGCGUGUUCGUGCAACACACACACACACACACACACACACACACACACACACACACAGAGAGAGAGAGACACACACACACACACUGUUUUAUCAGUAUAAUAAAGUCCAAGGAAGGAGAGAAGUUACUUAACUUUAUGCUGGGAUAAGAAAUGAAGGACUACUUGAGAAUGUAAGAGUCUUGGGGCUGGAGAGAUGAGUCAGUUAAGAUCACUGGUUACUCUUCCAGAGGAGCUGAGUUUGAGUCUCGGAAUCCACCUGGUGUCCCACAGCCAUCGUAACUCCAGUUUUAGGGUAUGCAACAGCAUCUUCUGGCCUCCCUUAACACCAGGCACACAUGGUGCCCAGACAUACAUGCAAGCAAAACACCCAUAUGCAUAAAUCAAAGUAAGUAAAUCGUUUAGAAAAAAAUAAUAGUAGCUGAAUCUCUUCAUUGGUAUAUCCUUUCAUUUUCUAAGCAAUAAAUGUUUUCAAAUAC
Mus musculus (house mouse) is the source of this 2629-nucleotide RNA transcript. It is a transcript of the gene named predicted gene 10548, with no coding region annotated. The record is from RefSeq and is marked validated. NCBI's taxonomy places the organism in Eukaryota, Metazoa, Chordata, Mammalia, Rodentia, Muridae. The transcript is spliced from 2 exons.